UACGGAGGGUGCAAGCGUUAUUCGGAAUUACUGGGCGUAAAGCGUUCGUAGGCGGUUUGUUAAGUCUGGUGUGAAAGCCCCGGGCCCAAUCCGGGAAGUGCAUUGGAUACUGACAGACUAGAGUGCGGGAGAGGAGAGUGGAAUUCCAGGUGUAGAGGUGAAAUUCGUAGAUAUCUGGAGGAACAACGGAGGCGAAAGCGACUCUCUGGACCGUUACUGACGCUGAGGAACGAAAGCGUGGGGAGCAAACAGG
RNAcentral lists this ribosomal RNA (253 nucleotides) under uncultured bacterium. RNAcentral's name for it is "partial 16S ribosomal RNA". It matches the Rfam family "Bacterial small subunit ribosomal RNA", at positions 524 to 776 of the family's 1533-position model. The record is from RNAcentral.